GACGAACGCUGGCGGCGUGCUUAACACAUGCAAGUCGAACGGAAAGGCCCUGCUUUUGUGGGGUGCUCGAGUGGCGAACGGGUGAGUAACACGUGAGUAACCUGCCCUUGACUUUGGGAUAACUUCAGGAAACUGGGGCUAAUACCGGAUAGGAGCUCCUGCUGCACGGUGGGGGUUGGAAAGUUUCGGCGGUUGGGGAUGGACUCGCGGCUUAUCAGCUUGUUGGUGGGGUAGUGGCUUACCAAGGCUUUGACGGGUAGCCGGCCUGAGAGGGUGACCGGCCACAUUGGGACUGAGAUACGGCCCAGACUGCUACGGGAGGCAGCAGUGGGGAAUAGUGCACAAUGGGCGGAAGCCUGAUGCAGCAACGCCGCGUGCGGGAUGACGGCCUUCGGGUUGUAAACCGCUUUCGCCUGUGACGAAGCGUGAGUGACGGUAAUGGGUAAAGAAGCACCGGCUAACUACGUG
RNAcentral lists this ribosomal RNA (468 nucleotides) under uncultured bacterium. RNAcentral's name for it is "partial 16S ribosomal RNA". It matches the Rfam family "Bacterial small subunit ribosomal RNA", at positions 28 to 507 of the family's 1533-position model. The record is from RNAcentral.